This 253-nucleotide ribosomal RNA is filed under the name uncultured bacterium. RNAcentral's name for it is "partial 16S ribosomal RNA". It matches the Rfam family "Bacterial small subunit ribosomal RNA", at positions 526 to 779 of the family's 1533-position model. The record is from RNAcentral.
CGUAGGUGGCAAGCGUUGUCCGGAUUUACUGGGUGUAAAGGGCGUGCAGCCGGGUCUGCAAGUCAGAUGUGAAAUCCAUGGGCUCAACCCAUGAACUGCAUUUGAAACUGUAGAUCUUGAGUGUCGGAGGGGCAAUCGGAAUUCCUAGUGUAGCGGUGAAAUGCGUAGAUAUUAGGAGGAACACCAGUGGCGAAGGCGGAUUGCUGGACGAUAACUGACGGUGAGGCGCGAAAGUGUGGGAGCAAACAGGAUU